GCUGAGUCUUGUGGUUGAUGUGC
Molecule: microRNA, 23 nt
Filed under: Daphnia magna
Lineage: Eukaryota; Metazoa; Arthropoda; Branchiopoda; Diplostraca; Daphniidae
Description: Dma-Mir-29-P2_5p (mature (guide))
Source: RNAcentral